UACGGGGGGGAGCAAGCGUUGUUCGGAAUCACUGGGCGUAAAGGGCGCGUAGGCGGCUUUAUAAGUCGGGGGUGAAAGCCUGUGGCUCAACCACAGAAUUGCCUUCGAUACUGUAUGGCUCGAGACCGGAAGAGGUAAGUGGAACUGCGAGUGUAGAGGUGAAAUUCGUAGAUAUUCGCAAGAACACCAGUGGCGAAGGCGGCUUACUGGUCCGGAUCUGACGCUGAGGCGCGAAAGCGUGGGGGAGCAAACAGG
This 255-nucleotide ribosomal RNA is filed under the name uncultured bacterium. RNAcentral's name for it is "partial 16S ribosomal RNA". It matches the Rfam family "Bacterial small subunit ribosomal RNA", at positions 524 to 776 of the family's 1533-position model. The record is from RNAcentral.